This 74-nucleotide transfer RNA is filed under the name Chloroflexota bacterium. Its description in RNAcentral is "Chloroflexi bacterium tRNA-Glu". It matches the Rfam family "tRNA". Rfam says of the family: Transfer RNA (tRNA) molecules are approximately 80 nucleotides in length. Their secondary structure includes four short double-helical elements and three loops (D, anti-codon, and T loops). Further hydrogen bonds mediate the characteristic L-shaped molecular structure. tRNAs have two regions of fundamental functional importance: the anti-codon, which is responsible for specific mRNA codon recognition, and the 3' end, to which the tRNAs corresponding amino acid is attached (by aminoacyl-tRNA synthetases). tRNAs cope with the degeneracy of the genetic code in two manners: having more than one tRNA (with a specific anti-codon) for a particular amino acid; and 'wobble' base-pairing, i.e. permitting non-standard base-pairing at the 3rd anti-codon position. RNAcentral also lists the same sequence under 1 other name. Lineage: Bacteria; Bacillati; Chloroflexota. The record is from RNAcentral.
GCCCCCAUGGUGUAGCGGCCUAGCACGCCACCCUUUCAAGGUGGAGAUCAGGGGUUCGAAUCCCCUUGGGGGCA